CUUCAUGACAGUAGACAUUAUAGCUCAGUAGAGCCCCAGUUAGAGACAGACAUGAUAUCUGCAGUGAUUUUGAUGAUCAUUUUCUGGAGCACAGAUCUCCAGGCUCAAAGCGUCAGUCCACCAGAUCUCCAGGCUCAAAGCGUCAGUCCACCAGCUGAACUCUCAGUCAGACUGGUGGAUGGGACCACUUCCUGUUCUGGGACAGUGGAAGUCUUCUACAGAGGAGAGUGGUUAGGUCUAUGUUCUAGGUGGUGGGGCAUGAAAGAGAUCAAGAUUUUGUGUAGAGAGCUGGGAUGUGGGAAUGUUGUAGCUAAAUCUAGAGGACCACCGUUUGAAGAUGGAAGAAGAGGAAUCAGCAUAUGGCUUUGUAGUGG
This 374-nucleotide long non-coding RNA is filed under the name Salmo salar (Atlantic salmon). RNAcentral's name for it is "lncRNA (ENSSSAG00000103131.1)". The record is from RNAcentral. Lineage: Eukaryota; Metazoa; Chordata; Actinopteri; Salmoniformes; Salmonidae.